CCUACGGGGGGCAGCAGCAAGGAAUCUUCCGCAAUGGGGGCAACCCUGACGGAGCAACGCCGCGUGGGGGAUGACGCCCUUCGGGGUGUAAACCCCUUUUCUGGGGGACGAAGGCGGGGCAACUCGCUUGACGGUACCGCAGGAAGAAGGACCGGCUAACUACGUGCCAGCAGCCGCGGUAAUACGUAGGGUCCGAGCGUUGUCCGGAGUUACUGGGCGUAAAGGGCGCGCAGGCGGCGGUGCUGGCCCGGCGUGAAAGCCCCCGGCUCAACCGGGGAGGGUCGUCGGGGACCGCACCGCUUGAGGGCGGUAGGGGCUGGUGGAAUGCCUGGUGUAGUGGUGAAAUGCGUAGAGAUCAGGCGGAACACCCGUGGCGAAGGCGGCCAGCUGGGCCGACCCUGACGCUGAGGCGCGAAGGCGUGGGGAGCGAACGGGAUUA
This 439-nucleotide ribosomal RNA is filed under the name uncultured Sphaerobacter sp. RNAcentral's name for it is "bacterial SSU rRNA". It matches the Rfam family "Bacterial small subunit ribosomal RNA", at positions 338 to 780 of the family's 1533-position model. The record is from RNAcentral. Lineage: Bacteria; Pseudomonadati; Thermomicrobiota; Thermomicrobia; Sphaerobacterales; Sphaerobacteraceae.